This 230-nucleotide long non-coding RNA is filed under the name Nicotiana benthamiana. RNAcentral's name for it is "long non-coding RNA (NBEN_LNC036866)". The record is from RNAcentral. Lineage: Eukaryota; Viridiplantae; Streptophyta; Magnoliopsida; Solanales; Solanaceae.
AUCACUAAUCGAUUGUUUAUGGUUUAUGUUUAUUAUGCAGUUUUGUUAAAUAAUUGAUUCUUUAACUGCAAAAUCGAUUUCCGUGUCAGCCAUUCAGCAAUGCUUUUCCAAAACAAUCGAUUGUUUCAAAAUAUAAUCGAUUAUUCUCAAAAUCAGAAAAUUUCUGUGCUUACUGUAACAUAACAAUCGAUUACCAUAUUUUGACAAUCGAUUAUUUCAUGUCAGUAAUU